CCAACAGGGAUUGCCCCAGUAACGGCGAGUGAAGCGGCAACAGCUCAAAUUUGAAAUCUGGCCCCAGGCCCGAGUUGUACUUUGCAGAGGAUGCUUCGGGCGACGGUCCUUCCCAAGUCCCCUGGAACGGGGCGCCUCGGAGGGUGAGAGCCCCGUACGGUCGGGCCCGAGCCUGUGUGAAGCUCCUUCGACGAGUCGAGUAGUUUGGGAAUGCUGCUCUAAAUGGGAGGUAGACCCCUUCUAAAGCUAAAUACCGGCCAGAGACCGAUAGCGCACAAGUAGAGUGAUCGAAAGAUGAAAAGCACUUUGAAAAGAGGGUUAAAUAGCACGUGAAAUUGUUGAAGGGGAAGCGCUCGUGACCAGACUUGCGCCGGGGCGAUCAUCCGGCGUUCUCGCCGGUGCACUCGCCCCGGCUCAGGCCAGCGUCGGUUUGGGCGCGGGGACAAAGGCGCCGGGAACGUAGCUCCCCCGGGAGUGUUACAGCCCGGCGUGCCAUGCCCGCGCCCGGACCGAGGUUCGCGCUCUGCAAGGACGCUGGCGUAAUGGUCACCAGCGGCCCGUCUUGAAACACGGACCAAGGAGUCGAGGUUCUGCGCGAGUGUUUGGGUGUCAAACCCGCACGCGUAAUGAAAGUGAACGCAGGUGGGAGCCUCGGCGCACCACCGACCGAUCCUGAUGUUCUCGGAUGGAUUUGAGUAGGAGCGUAGUGCCUCGGACCCGAAAGAUGGUGAACUAUGCUUGGAUAGGGUGAAGCCAGAGGAAACUCUGGUGGAGGCUCGCAGCGGUUCUGACGUGCAAAUCGAUCGUCAAAUCUGAGCAUGGGGGGCGAAAGACUAAUCGAACCAU
This 846-nucleotide ribosomal RNA is filed under the name Paraceratocladiella polysetosa. Its description in RNAcentral is "partial large subunit ribosomal RNA". It matches the Rfam family "Eukaryotic large subunit ribosomal RNA", at positions 65 to 943 of the family's 3401-position model. Lineage: Eukaryota; Fungi; Ascomycota; Sordariomycetes; Chaetosphaeriales; Chaetosphaeriaceae. The record is from RNAcentral.